GGGGUCAUAGCUCAGUUGGUUAGAGCGCUUCCCUGUCACGGAAGAGGUCGCGAGUUCGAGUCUCGUUGGCCCCG
This 74-nucleotide transfer RNA is filed under the name Candidatus Levybacteria bacterium RIFCSPLOWO2_01_FULL_42_15. RNAcentral's name for it is "tRNA-Asp". It matches the Rfam family "tRNA". From Rfam's summary of the family: Transfer RNA (tRNA) molecules are approximately 80 nucleotides in length. Their secondary structure includes four short double-helical elements and three loops (D, anti-codon, and T loops). Lineage: Bacteria; Candidatus Levyibacteriota. The record is from RNAcentral.